GAUGAACGCUGGCGGCGUGCCUAAUACAUGCAAGUCGAGCGAACAGAUGAGGAGCUUGCUCCUCUGACGUUAGCGGCGGACGGGUGAGUAACACGUGGAUAACCUACCUAUAAGACUGGGAUAACUUCGGGAAACCGGAGCUAAUACCGGAUAAUAUAUUGAACCGCAUGGUUCAAUAGUGAAAGACGGUUUUGCUGUCACUUAUAGAUGGAUCCGCGCCGCAUUAGCUAGUUGGUAAGGUAACGGCUUACCAAGGCAACGAUGCGUAGCCGACCUGAGAGGGUGGUCGGCCACACUGGAACUGAGACACGGUCCAGACUCCUACGGGAGGCAGCAGUAGGGUAUCUUCCGCAAUGGGCGAAAGCCUGACGGAGCGACGCCGCGUGAGUGAUGAAGGUCUUCGGAUCGUAAAACUCUGUUAUUAGGGAAGAACAAAUGUGUAAGUAACUAUGCACGUCUUGACGGUACCUAAUCAGAAAGCCACGGCUAACUACGUG
Molecule: ribosomal RNA, 497 nt
Filed under: uncultured bacterium
Lineage: Bacteria
Description: partial 16S ribosomal RNA
Rfam family: Bacterial small subunit ribosomal RNA
Source: RNAcentral